GCAGCAGUAGAUCUUGGAAUGACUGGUAGUGUUUGUCGGAAAACGCCAGAUAAUAAAAUCAUUGUGCAUUCGUCCCAUAUGAUGAUUUUUUGAUGCUACUAAAACUUUGGCCAUUGCGGAGUUUUUCGAAAUGCUACAUGUCGGUUGUUCAGUAGUUUGAAGGUUUAAUGGCAAUUUUAACGCUGAGUGAGCCGUACGGCAUCCGUCUAACAAUGUGGCCGCUAUUCCAGAAGAAGCAAUUGCUACCGCAAUUUCGGAUCCCGCACGUACAGUGGCCAAAAUCAAUGACAUGAGGAAUGUCUUCCCAGUUCCACCGGGGGCAUCCAAAAAAAAAUAAGCCGCCAUUUCCAUCAUCAAUUGCAUUAAUCAGUGUAUCAUAGACUUCCGUCUGCUUAGGAUUCAACAGAAGUACAUUUGUUUGAACUGAUUAAAUUAGUUCAUGUGGAUCAUAU
RNAcentral lists this long non-coding RNA (452 nucleotides) under Drosophila guanche. The record is from RNAcentral. Lineage: Eukaryota; Metazoa; Arthropoda; Insecta; Diptera; Drosophilidae.